UUGAACAGCUGCUCUGCAAGCUCCCACCCUGUGGAGUGUACUUUGAUCUUCAAUAAAUCUUUGCUUUCAUUGCUUCAUUCUUUCAUUGCUUUGCUGUGCAUUCUGUCCAAUUCUUUGUUCAAAAUGCCAAGAACCUGGACAAUUUGCAGUCAAGACCCUCCACCGGGAUAUGAACUUCCAAUUAUAUCAUUGGACUUGACUACUCCAUUUCUUUCCACAUUUAAAAAUCGAUCAGGGAGAAGCUAUUUUGAGAACUUAACACAGUAUUUAACAUGGGAUUUCUGAAUGAAGACAGUUUAUGGAUGAAUAAGGGCAACUUUGGUUCUUUUCAGAAGGUGCGUGAUCUGGAUGGCUGAAGUUGCUGAUUUUGGGGGGUAAUCUACAAGGAAAAGGUGAUGAAAAUACCAGAAACAGUCUGUAUCCUACUAUGUGGCUAACAUAUGAGGAAGUCUCAACAUGCAAACUUUGGCACACUCUCUCACCAAGUGAGUGGUUGGAGCAAGACAGUGUCUCGAGAUUGAAACAGAACACGAUGGAGCUGGAAGUUAUAGUUCUGAGAUCAUCAGGAAUCAGAGUCAAAUCAUUAACUAGUGAUUAUAUGCCACACAAGAAAUCCUCUCUGGGUUAGAAAUCUUAAAAUAAGAGGCUGUUAUAUACAUUUGUCGAGAUAAAAUUAUUGAUUAGUAUUUAUAAGACUUUGAUUUCAUA
This 708-nucleotide long non-coding RNA is filed under the name Homo sapiens (human). Its description in RNAcentral is "long non-coding RNA NONHSAT181670.1". The record is from RNAcentral. Lineage: Eukaryota; Metazoa; Chordata; Mammalia; Primates; Hominidae.